UUGAAAUUGCAACAAACAACUGACCAUGUGAAAACACUGGCGACAGAAGAUAUAUCCCAACAUGCUUUAAAGAUUGUCCCUGACUCUUAUUAAUAGUCAUCGCAAAGAAAUAAUUAUAGGAAAUUGUCUCCGUUGAAAUUUAAAAGGAAUUCUCACGUCAGAUGGUGUCAGAGAAAAUCUAGGUAUGAAAACCUGAUCACCAAUAUUACUUUCUGAAAUAAAUUUUCCUUCAAAAGCACGUUUUCUCAAUCUCGUAAUAAUAAGUCUUGUUCC
RNAcentral lists this long non-coding RNA (273 nucleotides) under Trifolium pratense (red clover). RNAcentral's name for it is "long non-coding RNA (TPRA_LNC004056)". The record is from RNAcentral. Lineage: Eukaryota; Viridiplantae; Streptophyta; Magnoliopsida; Fabales; Fabaceae.